UUGUGAUCCUCGCUGGGGACAGGGGGCAGCUGCCAGAAAUUCUCUGUCAGCAAAACAUGGCAAGACCCUUCCUCGAGGUCAGAGGCAGCUGGCUGUAGAGAGAGCCAAGCCUUACCAUCUGCCUUCAUCCGGACCAAGAGGAGCCGCAAGACCAAAGCCAUUCUCAACAGUAACAGGACAAGCUAAUGCAGGAGAUGUGCCUCCAAGAGCACCUUUCAGCAGUCGUGUACUGGCCAAAGUUAGAGAGUUAUGGGUUUCCAUCGCAGGAAUGCUGUUCUCACCAAAGCAGUCAAGAGAAUGAGUGCCUUUGGAUGCUUGG
Non-coding RNA from Phalacrocorax carbo (great cormorant), 319 nucleotides. The record is from RefSeq and is a predicted model, not a curated record. Lineage: Eukaryota; Metazoa; Chordata; Aves; Suliformes; Phalacrocoracidae.